This 438-nucleotide ribosomal RNA is filed under the name uncultured bacterium. RNAcentral describes it as "bacterial SSU rRNA". It matches the Rfam family "Bacterial small subunit ribosomal RNA", at positions 954 to 1392 of the family's 1533-position model. The record is from RNAcentral.
UGGGAACGCGAAGAACCUUACCUACUCUUGACAUCCAGAGAACUUAGCAGAGAUGCUUUGGUGCCUUCGGGAACUCUGAGACAGGUGCUGCAUGGCUGUCGUCAGCUCGUGUUGUGAAAUGUUGGGUUAAGUCCCGCAACGAGCGCAACCCUUAUCCUUUGUUGCCAGCGACUCGGUCGGGAACUCAAAGGAGACUGCCAGUGAUAAACUGGAGGAAGGUGGGGAUGACGUCAAGUCAUCAUGGCCCUUGCGAGUAGGGCUACACACGUGCUACAAUGGCAUAUACAAAGAGAAGCGACCUCGCGAGAGCAAGCGGACCUCAUAAAGUAUGUCGUAGUCCGGAUUGGAGUCUGCAACUCGACUCCAUGAAGUCGGAAUCGCUAGUAAUCGUGGAUCAGAAUGCCACGGUGAAUACGUUCCCGGGUCUUGUACACACCG